RNAcentral lists this ribosomal RNA (460 nucleotides) under uncultured bacterium. Its description in RNAcentral is "partial 16S ribosomal RNA". It matches the Rfam family "Bacterial small subunit ribosomal RNA", at positions 338 to 795 of the family's 1533-position model. The record is from RNAcentral.
CCUACGGGAGACAGCAGUGAGGAAUAUUGGUCAAUGGCCGAGAGUCUGAACCAGCCAAGUAGCGUGAAGGAUGAAUGCCCUAUGGUUUGUAAACUUCUUUUAUAUGGGAAUAAAAUGAUCCACGUGUGGGAUUUUGUAUGUACCAUAUGAAUAAGGAUCGGCUAACUCCGUGCCAGCAGCCGCGGUAAUACGGAGGAUCCGAGCGUUAUCCGGAUUUAUUGGGUUUAAAGGGAGCGUAGGUGGUUUGUUAAGUCAGUGGUGAAAGUUUGCGGCUCAACCAUAAAAUUGCAGUUGAAACUGGAAGACUUGAGUACGUUAGAGGUAGGCGGAAUGCGUGGUGUAGCGGUGAAAUGCAUAGAUAUCACGCAGAACUCCGAUUGCGAAGGCAGCUCACUAAGCCACAACUGACACUGAAGCUCGAAAGUGUGGGGAUCAAACAGGAUUAGAUACCCUUGUAGUC